GCCAGCGUAGCGUAGUGGUUUGAGUGCCUGACUGAGACUCUGGAGACUAGGGUUCGAUUCCCAGCUUGGCC
Non-coding RNA from Phrynosoma platyrhinos (Desert horned lizard), 71 nucleotides. NCBI's taxonomy places the organism in Eukaryota, Metazoa, Chordata, Lepidosauria, Squamata, Phrynosomatidae. The record is from the annotation of a GenBank genome assembly.